This is a transfer RNA of Aspergillus fumigatus Af293, 105 nucleotides long. It matches the Rfam family "tRNA". Rfam says of the family: Transfer RNA (tRNA) molecules are approximately 80 nucleotides in length. Their secondary structure includes four short double-helical elements and three loops (D, anti-codon, and T loops). Further hydrogen bonds mediate the characteristic L-shaped molecular structure. tRNAs have two regions of fundamental functional importance: the anti-codon, which is responsible for specific mRNA codon recognition, and the 3' end, to which the tRNAs corresponding amino acid is attached (by aminoacyl-tRNA synthetases). tRNAs cope with the degeneracy of the genetic code in two manners: having more than one tRNA (with a specific anti-codon) for a particular amino acid; and 'wobble' base-pairing, i.e. permitting non-standard base-pairing at the 3rd anti-codon position. The record is from Rfam. NCBI's taxonomy places the organism in Eukaryota, Fungi, Ascomycota, Eurotiomycetes, Eurotiales, Aspergillaceae.
GGGCUUGUAGCUCAGUGGUAGUAGCGCUCGCUUUGCAUUUAAUAAAGGUGCAGGUCCUCGGACUAGAUAUGCGAGAGGUCCGGGGUUCAAUCCCCCGUGAGUCCA